AUGCAGGGCCUGUCUCUCCUCCCGUGCGCUGGUCCUGUCCCCAGGCAUUGGGCUGCUUCCUGGGGAUGGGCUGAGGUUGGGACGUGGGUCCAGCUUGGUGAGGCCCAUGGCCUAGUAAGGCGAUGCUGUGGGGAGCUGGAGACCAGCACUGGCACAGAGACAGACAACCCUGCAGGCUGCAAUGAGAUCCUGUGCCACCAGCAAGUUGGAGAAGGCUCCAGAGUGCAGGGCAGCUUUUUGUCUCUUGUGUUGCUGCAGGACAGUGCACUGUGAAGUGAAGGCAUAGAUGGGGACCCAGGUGUUGCUUCCGACUAAAAGCCUCUCUGCUGGAACUUCCUGACUCAUUUCCCUGAUUACAAGACAGCAGGUGUCAAAUACAUCAGAAAAAGAACAAAGGACAUUAUCUAUCCAUACUUAAUUAAAGUCAGAAAUGCACUCAAGCCCGGCUGUCUGAACCAGAAGGCCGUUAGGGUGAUUGUGUUUUAAUUUAUUUUAACUGUGCAGCAAGAAAUUUAAGAUGAUUAGGUCUGAGACUAAUGCACAUUAAAGAAUAGAAUUAUUUUCUUAUUUUUUGUUUGCUUCUGUUUUGAUUUAUUUUUAGAAAAAUACUAUUUUUGUAUUUCCUUACAGUUACAGCAUUUUUGUAAGUACUUUCUGAGAAUGCAGCACACAGCACUCAUGUAAAAUGUACAAGGUAGUCUGAUAAAUAUGCCGUCAUACCAUCUUACCUUUAGUUUAAAUGUCAUUGGAGGAACAGGGUUUCAACUUCAUCAUCUUCAGUGAUUACAUUACUGUUUUUUUAACAGUUUAAAUUUUCUAUUACACGAAUCCUAUCUCUUCAUCAAGUGGAAAUGGG
RNAcentral lists this long non-coding RNA (856 nucleotides) under Phasianus colchicus (ring-necked pheasant). Its description in RNAcentral is "lncRNA (ENSPCLG00000000839.1)". The record is from RNAcentral. Lineage: Eukaryota; Metazoa; Chordata; Aves; Galliformes; Phasianidae.